RNAcentral lists this ribosomal RNA (684 nucleotides) under Curtobacterium sp. Its description in RNAcentral is "bacterial SSU rRNA". It matches the Rfam family "Bacterial small subunit ribosomal RNA", at positions 95 to 792 of the family's 1533-position model. The record is from RNAcentral. Lineage: Bacteria; Bacillati; Actinomycetota; Actinomycetes; Micrococcales; Microbacteriaceae.
GUGGCGAACGGGUGAGUAACACGUGAGUAACCUGCCCCUGACUCUGGGAUAAGCGUUGGAAACGACGUCUAAUACUGGAUAUGAUCACUGGCCGCAUGGUCUGGUGGUGGAAAGAUUUUUUGGUUGGGGAUGGACUCGCGGCCUAUCAGCUUGUUGGUGAGGUAAUGGCUCACCAAGGCGACGACGGGUAGCCGGCCUGAGAGGGUGACCGGCCACACUGGGACUGAGACACGGCCCAGACUCCUACGGGAGGCAGCAGUGGGGAAUAUUGCACAAUGGGCGAAAGCCUGAUGCAGCAACGCCGCGUGAGGGAUGACGGCCUUCGGGUUGUAAACCUCUUUUAGUAGGGAAGAAGCGAAAGUGACGGUACCUGCAGAAAAAGCACCGGCUAACUACGUGCCAGCAGCCGCGGUAAUACGUAGGGUGCAAGCGUUGUCCGGAAUUAUUGGGCGUAAAGAGCUCGUAGGCGGUUUGUCGCGUCUGCUGUGAAAUCCCGAGGCUCAACCUCGGGCUUGCAGUGGGUACGGGCAGACUAGAGUGCGGUAGGGGAGAUUGGAAUUCCUGGUGUAGCGGUGGAAUGCGCAGAUAUCAGGAGGAACACCGAUGGCGAAGGCAGAUCUCUGGGCCGUAACUGACGCUGAGGAGCGAAAGCAUGGGGAGCGAACAGGAUUAGAUACCCUGGUA